CAAGUUUGCCCCCUCUUUAGGAGGAUGUGAAUAGUAAUUCUUUUCAGCCAAGAUUUUCUAGAACUUUCGUUUUGGUAAUUUUCUGUCUGGGAAAAUUUUUUAGAUGCCAAUUCUUUUUAUUCCAAUAUUUUUUGCUUUGAGAAUCACUGUGUUCAUAGUCUUAUUAAAAAAUACAAAUUAUCUUUCCGACACAGGCUUAUUUAUUGUUCUGGAAUUUCUGAUACCUCUGUCAGGUUCUCGGGCCUCCUCCAUACCCCACAGUUGAGCUCUGGUUGUGUCCCUGGAAGGUCAGCUGCUUUUCAACUAUCCACAGGUUCGUUUCUUCAUUUGGCGAGUGGAGCUUGUUUAGGUUUAUUCUGGCUUUGUAGAAGGAAGAAGGCCUCUUCUGCAAGUGCAAAGACUUCCUUCAAAGUGGCCUUUUCAGUGAAUGGGCUCUGGUGUGGGCUCGGCCCAAGGAAGAGAUUUCCCCUCUGCUCCAGUCACCCUCUGACUCUAUGCCUGCCUUCUUAUACAUCAGCACCGUGAAAACUUAAGCACAUAUCUUGAACCUAAAAUCAUCUCAGGCAACCUGGAUUUCCCUUCAAGAAAGUGGGAUUGGAGCUGGCUUCCGACGUGAGAUACCAGCAGUUGACAGCAGGUGACAUUGCUUUUGUGGAGUCCCCAGGGGUGUCCCACUGUUUCCUGACACUUCUUAAAGUAGGGAGGGAAUGGGAUCUGAGAUGGGUCAGAGGGUAGAUGUCUGGCACUGGGCUGAGGAGGAGAUUAGGGGCUAAAGUAAAAAGGGAAAACUACAGAUAUUGAAAACCCACUCUCCUGUCGACUGAUUGAUUGACUGUCUUUUUGAGACAGGGUUUCACUAUGCAGUUCAGGCUGGCCUUGAACUCACGUUAUAGUCUAGUCUUGCCUUGAACUUGAAGUGCUCCUCCUGUCUCAGCCUCCCAAGUGCUGGGAUUAUAGGCAUGUGCCACCAUGCCCAGCAGGCUGUGCUCUCAUUUAACAGUUGCCCAACUGUUCAAGGUGGCAGGAGUGUCUCCUGGUCUAGGCAGUCAGGGUCAGUCUUCUUCGGCCCAUUCCUAUGUCAUGAACUAUCUAUGAUCCCCAGUGAUGCUACUAAAUCUUGUGUGUGCGAUGGUAUUAGCUACCCAGUGCUAAGGGAUCUAGU
RNAcentral lists this long non-coding RNA (1162 nucleotides) under Chinchilla lanigera (long-tailed chinchilla). RNAcentral describes it as "lncRNA (ENSCLAG00000025023.1)". Lineage: Eukaryota; Metazoa; Chordata; Mammalia; Rodentia; Chinchillidae. The record is from RNAcentral.